AUUGAACGCUGGCGGCAGGCCUAACACAUGCAAGUCGAGCGGAUGCAGGGAGCUUGCUGCUGGAUUCAUCAGCGGACGGGUGCGUGAUGCCUAUGAAUCUGCCACUUCGUGGGGGAUAACGUUCGGAACCGGGCGCUAAUACCGCAUCCGUCCUGAGGGAGAAAGUCGAGGAUCUUCAGCCCCCACGCUCUCACCUUAGCCUAGGUCGGAUUAGCUAGUUGGAGGGGUAAAGGCCUCCCCAGGCGACGCUCCGUAACUGGUCUGAGAGGAUGAUCAGUCACACUGGAACUGAGACACGGUCCAGACUCCUACGGGAGGCAGCAGUGGGGAAUAUUGGACAAUGGGCGAAAGCCUGAUGCAGCCAUGCCGCGUGUGUGAAGAAGGUCUUCGGAUUGUAAAGUACUUUAAGUGGGGAGGAAGGGAAGUAAGUUAAUACCUUGCUGUAUUGACGUUACCAGCAGAAGAAGCACCGGCUAACUUCGUG
Molecule: ribosomal RNA, 484 nt
Filed under: uncultured bacterium
Lineage: Bacteria
Description: partial 16S ribosomal RNA
Rfam family: Bacterial small subunit ribosomal RNA
Source: RNAcentral